Hyla sarda is the source of this 432-nucleotide long non-coding RNA. RefSeq lists it as uncharacterized. NCBI's taxonomy places the organism in Eukaryota, Metazoa, Chordata, Amphibia, Anura, Hylidae. The record is from RefSeq and is a predicted model, not a curated record. The transcript has 3 exons.
GAGACUUUACUCCAUAGCGUAGAUACUUCAGUCUUAUUUCUGCACUGUGUUGCUGUCAGUGUGUAAGAUUUGCACGGAGACAAUCCACAUGUCACUGUCAUAAACUAGAUGUCAGCGAUCACAAGAGUCGGAAUGUGAGCUACAAAUGAGAGGUCACUUAGCACAGAGGGACGUACAAGGGAACGUGGAUGGAGUCAGCUCUCGCUCUGCAGUGUUUGCACAAAGUAAGGAAGCGGUGGACGGAUUGCUGGGAAGAAGAAAAUCAGAUUAAAUAAUUAGUGUCAAUUAGCUCCAGCAAAAUCAUUCUCCAAACAAUUGGUCUCAAGUGCCCUGCUUAAUUAUGUGAGACUUUCAUUGCUUCUUAUCAAGGCUGCUUUGAUUCAUGUUUGACUCUUGAAGCUCCCGGAGGUGCAAUUAAUUAUUGUCUACUAA